CCCUCCGCCAUGUCAGGACACAGCAAGAUGCCAUCUGUGAACCAGGAAGUGGGCUUCCACCAGACACCAAAUCUGCCAGUGCCUUAACCUUGGACUUCCCAGCCCCCAAACUGUUUGCUGUGAAGGAUUCUUCUCCCUAAGGACUGUGGCCUGAGUUGUCGGUUAUCCCGCCCAGAACACACAGGAUGUGGAAGAUGCCUUCCCGGGAGGAAGAACCGGGAGCAGAGGCUUGGGUAAGAUUCCCCAGCAGAAGAUUCUUUAUGCCAGGACGGCAGCUGUGGAAGCCAUAAUAACCACAAGAAAUGCUAUAAUCGAGAGGAAGAAAACGGGUCUGCCAUGUAUGCCCGACAAGACCACUUAACCUUAGACUCUGCCAAAGGAGGACGCCGCUCGCCCUUGUUCCCAGAGGAGUGAACUGCUACAAUCGCCACUAUGGAGGCGUCCUGAAGUUUGCAGUGUGCGACUUGAUGAAAGUAUAUUUUGGAAGAUUAUUC
Molecule: long non-coding RNA, 494 nt
Filed under: Equus asinus (donkey)
Lineage: Eukaryota; Metazoa; Chordata; Mammalia; Perissodactyla; Equidae
Description: lncRNA (ENSEASG00005025624.1)
Source: RNAcentral